GAUGAACGCUGGCGGCGUGCUUAAUACAUGCAAGUCGAGCGGACAGACGAGGAGCUUGCUGCUUGGUCGUUAGCGGAGGACGGGAGUAUAACACGAGGAUAACCUACCUAUCAUACGGGGAAAAUUACGGAAAACCGGAGCUAAUAGCGUAUGAUAUAUUGAACCGCAGGGGUCAAUAGUGAAAGACGGUUUUGCUGUCACUUAUAGAUGGAUCUGCGCCGCAUUAGCUAGUUGUUACGGUAACGGCUUACCAAGGCAACGAGGCGUAGCCGAGGUGAGAGACGGAUAGGCCACCCGAGAGCGGAGACGCGGUCCAGACGCCUGCGGGAGGGCGCAGUAGGGAACCUUCCGCAGAGGGCGAAAGCCUGGCGGAGCAGCGGCGCGUGAGUGAUGAAGGUCUUCGGAUCGUGAAACUCGGUUAUGGGGGAAGAACAAAUGUGUAAGUAAACAUGCACUUCUUGACGGUACCUGAUCAGAAAGCAACGGCUAACUACGUG
This 497-nucleotide ribosomal RNA is filed under the name uncultured bacterium. Its description in RNAcentral is "partial 16S ribosomal RNA". It matches the Rfam family "Bacterial small subunit ribosomal RNA", at positions 28 to 507 of the family's 1533-position model. The record is from RNAcentral.